UACGUAGGUGUCGAGCGUUGUCCGGAUUUAUUGGGCGUAAAGAGCCCGCAGGCGGCUUGCCAAGUUCGAGGUGAAAUCUCCCGGCUCAACUGGGAGGGUGCUCCGAAAACUGGCAGGCUUGAGUCAUGGAGAGGGAUGUGGAAUUCCCGGUGUAGUGGUGAAAUGCGUAGAUAUCGGGAGGAACACCAGUGGCGAAGGCGGCCCCCUGGCACAACACUGACGCUCAGGUGCGAAAGCGU
Molecule: ribosomal RNA, 239 nt
Filed under: uncultured bacterium
Lineage: Bacteria
Description: partial 16S ribosomal RNA
Rfam family: Bacterial small subunit ribosomal RNA
Source: RNAcentral